GAAGCAGGUGUGAGAAAUCUGGACGUGAAAUCGGAAUUGCACACAUUUCAACGCACCAACGCAGCCACACGGCUGCAGGCGCUCUGCAGGCUGCGUAUCAUCUGAAAACACCUCAAGGACGAGAUUUUCCGAAACUGUGGCCGAGAUUUAUUACGAAGCAGCUAUAAUUACCGUGCCGGCCAGGAGGGGCUCCGAGAGCAAAACCUAACGCGACACAACACACUUUCCAAGUUUCCCGGAGCGUUUCAACACUGCAAACGGUUCCUCCCAAACAGUCCCGGCGCGGGCACGGCGCGGCUCCUCGGGCUGCGGGCGUCGGGUGGCCGACAGAAGGAUCCCUCCGUGCCUCCCGAACACGUCCAGGGAUGCGUCCCGCACCCGCACACCCUCCCCGGGCCCGGUUUAAUUGCGGCGUUUUGCUCCGCCGUUAAACGUGUGGCUGCUUUCGGGGGAAAUGACGACGUGGUGAAUUCCUGCAGUGCAGCGGCACGGUGCAUUUCCGUCCCUGAGCGACGCCGGGAGCACCCAACGCGGCACUGCAGCUUCCGAUUGCGCGUUUUGAAAGUGCGGAGGAGAUAUACGGUAUAGAUACACACAUUCUGAAAGAAUAUAUUUACAAGUACGUUCUGUAGAGAGAAACACGGGGACGGACAAGCACAUAUACACACGUAGGCAAUGUAGAUCCGGGUAUACACACCCGUAUAUAAGCAAUGCGGUAUAGGAUCUAUGCGCAUAUGCAGGCAAUGUGGAUAACGUCUACGUGAUCGUUCUAUCUCCUCUGCACAUUUCAAACCAAACCUGUUUUAUCGAGUGCUCGCCCACGGUUUAGCCAGCCGGGCUAUCUGCCCGCUGCUCCGCUCCUCCUCUCCGCGCUGCCCCGCCGGGAGCAGCCGGGCCCGGAGCCUCUCGCUGUGCCCCGCGGGGCGGGCGCGCCCGCGGCUGCGGGAUCAGGGAUCGGGCGGGAGCUGCCGAGGCAGGACGGGGCUCGGCUCUCCGGGGCCGCCCGCGUCCUCCGCCCCCGGCGCUGCCGCUCAGACACCUGUUAGGUGUGAAGUUACACGAGCGCCCUUCCGCUAUGCGAAAACGCGGUGCGCAAACACGGCGCAGCGCUUCAGCCUGCGGGGAAACCAAACCGCGGCGAAGGGGCACUUAACGGGAGAACCGCGGUGCCUCCGCGCCCCGAUCCUCAGCCUUCCGCCGCUCUGCGCGGGGCCGGGGCUCUCCCCGCAGCCUCCUCCGCGCCGCCCCGAGCGGCAGCCUCCGUCCGCGCUAAUCACACCAAGAGCCGGCGCAACGGCAGCCCCGAUAACGGCCGCGCUAACGGUCCCGCAGCUGCACCGCGCAGCGCUGGGUGCUCCGAGGGACAGGUGACCGAGCGGGGCCGGAGCUCCGCCCGCGGGAGCGCAGUGCCGGGGGCAGCCGAACGCUUACCGGUGGGCGGCAGCGCCCGCGUGCCGAAGAGCCGGGGACGAUCGCUGUAAUCCAUUUUGCGCCCGCGUAGCAAUCCGGGGGGCAGCUGCGAGCGGCUCCGCGCAGCGCCGCGGGAGGAGAGGCGUCGCGGGGCCGCGGAGCGCCGGGGUUCGGGGAGCGCCGCGCCGACAUCGCGGCGGCUGCCAUACACCUCAGCCAGACAAAGGUUAGGAAAAGAGGGGCUGAGACUCUCUGAAGGCAGAAUGCAGGGGGAAAUUCGCCAGGGAAAUCAGGAAAAGGCCAUGAAAGCGCUCGCUGCCUGCACAUGACCAGCCGCAGCCAAUGACGAGCCCAAAUAGGUCAUAAAAAGGUCUAUUACCAAGUUGUAAAUUUUCUUCAAACAAAAAGGAAUUUACUGCAAUUCCUUGCGGAUUUUGCACAUACUGCUUCCCAGCGCCAUGUUUCUUUCGCCUGCGCGCUGCGCUCGUGUUUUUCACUCUCUGCCCCCGCGGCCUGCGCGCCCCGAGCGGCUGUCGGGGCCCCGCGGGCGGGGAGCUCCGGAGAGAGAGGAGCGCUGAGCCGCACUCCGGGUGGGGGAACCCCGCUUAACGGCCCCUCGGCGCCGUGCCCGCGGGUCCUGUCCUUGCCUUAACGAAAGGGGCUUCGGACCGCGUUACCCACAGCCGGGCCCUACGAGAAAACGUGUUUCCUGUAGCGCCCACUACUGAAGCCGAAACCGUCAGUGCCCUAAAGGCAGUCCGAACCGAGCUGAUGCCGCAGCCCGCCCCGCAGUUCGGGGUCCCGCGGGUCGCGCUGCCGUCGAGCCCCGGCGCGAUGCAUCCGCGGGGCCGCGUGGAACCCGGGAGCUCAAAAAGCGCUCGGAAAGGGCUACGGCUGCCCCGCGUCACGGAGAGCGGCGAACGAAUACCGCGGCUCUCGCUCGAUUUCUGUUCAGAGAACAGCCAGAGCCCUCUGUCUGUGCCCCGCGCGUUGAUCGAACCUGCCGGGAAAGAAAAUAAAAACCAAGCUAACAAAAAAACCCAAACUGCGCUAACGACGUGGGGUCUCUGUCACACCGCUGCAGGGGAUCACACGCCCUCGGAUGAGGCGCCCGCUGGGCCGAGGCACCGCCACCUCCGCGGCCCCGCGCAGCUCCGUUUCUCCCUGCACGGCGCCGAGGGCGCGUUGGGCAACCGCUGCCUCGCUUCGCUUUUCCUGAGAAGGACCCUAAACGAAAGCGAAGGGGAGAUGGAGCUGCCAGCUACGGGCGGGGAAUAUCUUCAUCAGUUCACAACAAGGCUUUUUUUUGUGUGUGGUUUUUUUUGGUUUGUUUUCCUCCUUUUCUAACUAAAUGUAAAAGAGAGAGAGAGAGAGAGAGAGAGAAGGGGAAGUUCCCCGUUAGGACGAGGCCUUUGCAAACGCUGUGCGCACCGGGGCGUUGGUUUGUGUGCGUGGCUGCUUUCCCAGCCGGCCCUGGGAGGGCAACGCUAACGGAAACUUCGUCAGGAAUAUUUUAAUUUCGUUCCCUUUGUCUGGAAAUGAAAAACAACGUCGGCAGCGGCUCUUUCCCGGACGAAUACCGGCUCGGGAAAUGCUCCGCCGGGCCGUGACGGCUCCGCUGCGCUCUUCCCGGGGCAGCGGCAGAAGGAGGCCCGGCGCGGGGCUGCAGUCGGGCCCCGGAGCCGCAUCGCUCCCGGCCACCGGGCCACCGCUGCGCAUACGCAAAAGCGUGCAGCAAAACGGUGCCUUCUCGGCUUUGCCGCGGUUUCCACGCGUUUGCAAGCUUUAAUCGGUUACGUGAUUAAAACAAACCAGAACAAUGGCUCCGCUCGGUUCUGCCUCCCUCCCGAGCUGCAGCUUCGCUGGAGCUGAGCCGAGCGCGGCUGCCGGCUGGGAGCAGAGGGGUAGCUGCACGAACCCACCCCGCACACCGAGCCCCCGCACACCGUCCCCUCCUGUCGGGCGGCUCCCGGCCGUGGGGAUGCGGGACGAGGCCGCGGCACAUCUCGGGGCCUUCGCGAGCGGCUUCGGGAGGACGGGGCCGGAGGGAUCCCGCUCCGACGGCAGCGCCGCUGCUUUCGGGGGCACAUAAUGGGAGUCGAGUCGGUCGCAUUCACCGCACCGCGUCCUGCGGGGCCUUCAGCGAACAUCGCACAAUGGAGGCGUGAGAAGGGGGGGGGAAAAAUGCGCAGACAUUUUUGUAAGGCUUCGUACCGUGUUCCCGCUGCCCCUAAACGGGCUGCCCCCGCCGCCCUGCCCUACGGCUUGAAAAAACGCCCCGAAACAGUGCCAAGAUAUUUAUUGCUGAAACGUCCUUUUCUGCAAUGGGACCACGAGCCACUUUGCCCGAGAUCCGUGGGGGAGGCUGGAGCCGGCCCGGCGCUCACGGACCCGCAGAGCGGGGGGCACCGCACGGUAGGGCCGCGGCGGAGCCCCUCGGUGAGGAUGGAGGCAAAAAGCUGCGAGGCCCAAGCACGCAUAUAGCGUGGUCCCAGCGCCGGGGAGCAGGGGCUCUCCCACGGAGGAAGCUCGGUCAGGGGGCCCUGGCACCCCGCGUCCCCUCGUCAGGGUGCGUCGGGACCCGGCUGGGACUGGGGGCCCCCUCAGGUUUUGUCUCAAGUGGGCCGUUUCGAGAUCCUCCCCCGCCCAAAUAGGCGCUAGGAACGGAGGAGAGGGCAGAUGCGGAGGUACGAGAGUUUAUCGGAGGAGCAGAUUACAGAAAGGAUGCCAGGAAACCGAUAGAUUUUAUAUUUGAAUAAUUAUGAUUUAUUUAAAUCAAAUAUCGAUAGUAGAAAGUUUGAUAUAUUUCUAAGAUUUGCUCUUCAAAAUUUAUUAAAUUUCCUUAAUUUAUUCGAGAUUAGAAAAUAACAAGAAUUAAAAUAGUACAAGUGCACUUGUUUGAUUAAUAAAGCAUUGGUACAUGUCUCGCUUA
This is a long non-coding RNA of Gallus gallus (chicken), 4342 nucleotides long. RefSeq lists it as uncharacterized. Lineage: Eukaryota; Metazoa; Chordata; Aves; Galliformes; Phasianidae. The record is from RefSeq and is a predicted model, not a curated record. The transcript is spliced from 2 exons.